Molecule: ribosomal RNA, 2439 nt
Filed under: Candidatus Caldipriscus sp.
Lineage: Bacteria; Candidatus Caldipriscota
Description: partial 23S ribosomal RNA
Rfam family: Bacterial large subunit ribosomal RNA
Source: RNAcentral
CCGGGUGCCGGCGGCGGUAGGGGAGCGUUCCCAGGGGUAGCCCUGGGAAGUGAGAAUCCGGGCAUUAGUAGCGAUAAGGAGGGUGAGAAUCCCUCCCGCCGUAAGCCCAAGGUUUCCACCGGCAGGUUCGUCCGCGGUGGGUUAGCCGGUACCCUAAGGUGAGGCCGAAAGGCGUAGCCGAUGGGAAGUGGGGUCAAUAUUCCCCCGCCACCCGCGUGGAGCCCGAGGGGUGACGCGGGAGCGAAGGGCCCGGGGGCUGGUGGCUUAGCCCCUCCAAACCCGUAGGGCGAUGACGGGCCGAGGCAAAUCCCGGCCCCGAGCCUGAGGGGGAGUAAGGAACCCAGGGGAAACCCUGGGGGAAGGGCCCGGAGCACACCGACGAGAAAUAACCUCGCGGGCGAUGAAGCGCGGGUGACCGUACCGCAAACCGACACAGGUGGGCGGGCAUAAAUGUGCUAAGGCGCGCGGGAUAACCCCCCCUAAGGAACUCGGCAAGUUGCCCCCGUAACUUCGGGAGAAGGGGGGCCCUAGUAGGGUGAGGCUCCUUCGCGGGCCGAGCCCGAACGGGUCGCAGAGAAUAGGGCCUGGCGACUGUUUACCAAAAACACAAGUCCCUGCAUAACCCGUAAGGGGAUGUAUAGGGGCUGACGCCUGUCCGGUGCCGGAAGGUUAAGGCGGGGGGUGAUGAGCUCCCUGCCGAAGCCCCGGUAAACGACGGCCGUAACCCUAACGGUCCUAAGGUAGCAAAUUGCUGCCUGAACUCGGCUAUAUGCGGGAAAGCCCUUAGAGCCCAACCUACGCUUUCAGCCCUUUUGGGCUGACGUAAAAAUGGUUGGGAUUGGGCAACCCGCAGGAAACCUUCCGGUGUUAAUGCCGGAAGGGUUCCUCAGAGGCCGUACGCCGAGCAGCCUGGCCUCCGGGAAGCCGUAAAAGGAGGUUUGGAUAUGGACUUAUCUCCCGACUGGGUCGUGGGAUUCACGGAUGGUGAAGGAUGUUUCCACGUUUCGGUUGUAAGAAACCCCAAAACCACCCUCGGAUAUCAGGUAAUACCGGAGUUUGUGAUAGUACAGCAUAAAAGGGACAUACAAAUCCUGUAUGCGUUAAAGAGGUUCUUCAAAUGUGGUGUUGUUAGGAAAAAUCAUGGGGACAGAUGGGCUUUAAGGAUCAGGAAGAUCUCCUGUCUGAAAGAGAUAUGCGAUUUCUUCACCAAACAUCCGCUAAAAACCAAAAAGAAUGUGGAUUUCAUAAGGUUCAGGAGGAUAAUUCAUAAGAUGGAGGAGGGUAGGCAUCUGACGCCGGAAGGAUUGCUUGAGAUCAUAGAUAUAGCCCUCCAGAUGAAUACCGAAAAAAGGGCAUCAUUAAUGGAGAUAAAGAGGGAAAUAAUUGAGCGCUUCCCGGAAAUGGGCCGUGGGCCAGGCUGAAGAUAUGGCCCACCCCACGGUGAAAACCGUGGAUAAAGGUGAGCGAAGUUCCUUGUCACGUAAGUUGUGACCCGCAUGAAUGGCGUAACGACUGGGCCACUGUCUCAGGGGGGGACCCGGCGAAGUUUCAGUACCAGUGAAGAUGCUGGUUACCCGCGGCGGGACAGAAAGACCCCGUGGACCCUUACUGCAGCCUGGCGUUGGACUCUGGCAGGGCAUGUGCAGAAUAGGUGGGAGGCUGUGAAGCCGGGGCGCCAGCUCCGGUGGAGCCGCCAGUGAGAUACCACCCUUGUCCUGUUGGGGUUCUAACCUACACCCCUGAAUCGGGGUGGGGGACAGCGCUUGGCGGGCAGUCUCGCUGGGGCGGCGUCCUCCUAAAAGGUAACGGAGGAGCCCAAAGGUCCCCUCAGGGCGGACGGUACCGCCCGUUGAGUGCAAGGGCAUAAGGGGGCCUGACUGCGAGGCCGACGGGCCGAGCAGGGGCGAAAGCCGGGCCUAGUGAUCAGGUGGUCCCGUGUGGAAGGGCCAUCGCUCAGCGGAUAAAGGGUACCCCGGGGAUAACAGGCUCGUCGGGCCCGAGAGUCCACUUCGACGGCCCGGUUCGGCACCUCGAUGUCGGCUCAGCCCAUCCUGGGGGUGCACAAGCUCCCAAGGGUUGGUCUGUUCGCCCAUUAAAGGGCUACGUGAGCUGGGUUCAGACCGUCGUAAGACAGGUCGGUCCCUAUCCGCCGUGGGCGUAGGGCGCUUGAGGGGGUCUGCCCACAGUACGAGAGGACCUGGGUUGGGGGCACCUCUGGUGUACCGGCUGUCGCGCCAGCGGCAGAAGCCGGGUAGCCAUGUGCCUAACCGAUAACCGCUGAAAGCAUCUAAGCGGGAAGCGGGCCCCAAGAUAAGGCGCCCCACCCGAGGGUUUCCUCGGGGUAAGGGCCGGGGGAGACUACCCCGUAGAUGGGCCGCAGGUGUAAGCCCCGCAAGGGGUUGAGCCGAGCGGUUCCAAUAGCCCGAGGAUUUCGUCGCC